ACUGCUCAGUAACACGUGGAUAACCUGCCCUUGGGUCCGGCAUAACCCCGGGAAACUGGGGAUAAUACCGGAUAUUUAGGAGUUCCUGGAAUGGUCUUCUAUUUAAAGUUCAGGCGCCUAAGGAUGGAUCUGCGGCAGAUUAGGUAGUUGGUGGGGUAAUGGCCCACCAAGCCUUUGAUCUGUACGGGUUGUGAGAGCAAGAGCCCGGAGAUGGAUUCUGAGACAUGAAUCCAGGCCCUACGGGGCGCAGCAGGCGCGAAAACUUUACAAUGCGGGAAACCGUGAUAAGGGGACACCGAGUGCCAGCGUCAUACGCUGGCUGUCCGGGUGUGUAAAAUACACCUGUUAGCAAGGGCCGGGCAAGACCGGUGCCAGCCGCCGCGGUAACACCGGCGGCCCGAGUGGUGAUCGUGAUUAUUGGGUCUAAAGGGUCCGUAGCCGGUUUGGUCAGUCCUCCGGGAAAUCUGAUAGCUUAACUAUUAGGCUUUCGGGGGAUACUGCCAGACUUGGAACCGGGAGAGGUAAGAGGUACUACAGGGGUAGGAGUGAAAUCUUGUAAUCCCUGUGGGACCACCUGUGGCGAAGGCGUCUUACCAGAACGGGUUCGACGGUGAGGGACGAAAGCUGGGGGCACGAACCGGAUUAGAUACCCGGGUAGUCCCAGCCGUAAACGAUGCUCGCUAGGUGUCAGGCAUGGCGCGACCGUGUCUGGUGCCGCAGGGAAGCCGUGAAGCGAGCCACCUGGGAAGUACGGCCGCAAGGCUGAAACUUAAAGGAAUUGGCGGGGGAGCAC
This 793-nucleotide ribosomal RNA is filed under the name uncultured methanogenic archaeon. RNAcentral describes it as "bacterial SSU rRNA". It matches the Rfam family "Archaeal small subunit ribosomal RNA", at positions 85 to 879 of the family's 1478-position model. Lineage: Archaea; Methanobacteriati; Methanobacteriota. The record is from RNAcentral.